This 493-nucleotide ribosomal RNA is filed under the name uncultured bacterium. Its description in RNAcentral is "partial 16S ribosomal RNA". It matches the Rfam family "Bacterial small subunit ribosomal RNA", at positions 29 to 523 of the family's 1533-position model. The record is from RNAcentral.
AUUGAACGCUGGCGGCAUGCUUUACACAUGCAAGUCGGACGGUAACAGGUUAAGCUGACGAGUGGCGAACGGGUGAGUAAUGCAUCGGAACGUGCCCGGUCGUGGGGGAUAACGCAGCGAAGGCUGCGCUAAUACCGCAUACGAUCUGAGGAUGAAAGCGGGGGACCGGAAGGCCUAGCGCGAUCGGAGCGGCCGAUGUCAGAUUAUGUAGUUGGGGGGGUAAAGGCUCACCAAGCGAACGAUCGGUAGCUGGUCUGAGAGGACGACCAGCCACACUGGGAAUGAGACACGGCCCAGAUUCUUACGGGAGGCAGCAGUGGGGAAUGUUGGACAAUGGGCGAAAGCCUGAUCCAGCAAUGCCGCGUGCAGGAAGAAGGCCUUCGGGUUGUAAACUGCUUUUGUACGGAGCGAAAAGGUCUCCUCUAAUACAGGGGACUCAUGACGGUACCGUAAGAAUAAGCACCGGCUAACUACGUGCCAGCCGCCGCCGUAA